RNAcentral lists this ribosomal RNA (253 nucleotides) under uncultured bacterium. Its description in RNAcentral is "partial 16S ribosomal RNA". It matches the Rfam family "Bacterial small subunit ribosomal RNA", at positions 524 to 776 of the family's 1533-position model. The record is from RNAcentral.
UACGUAGGGUGCAGGCGUUAAUCGGAAUUACUGGGCGUAAAGCGUGCGCAGGCGGUUUCUUAAGUCAGAUGUGAAAGCCCCGAGCUUAACUUGGGAAUUGCGCUUGUGGCUGGCGUGCUGGAGUGUGGCAGAGGGAGGUGGAAUUCCACGUGUAGCAGUGAAAUGCGUAGAGAUGUGGAGGAACACCGAUGGCGAAGGCAGCCUCCUGGGCCAGCACUGACGCUCAUGCACGAAAGCGUGGGGAGCAAACAGG